This 393-nucleotide ribosomal RNA is filed under the name uncultured bacterium. RNAcentral's name for it is "bacterial SSU rRNA". It matches the Rfam family "Bacterial small subunit ribosomal RNA", at positions 30 to 416 of the family's 1533-position model. The record is from RNAcentral.
AUUGAACGCUGGCGGCAGGCCUAACACAUGCAAGUCGAACGGUAACAGGAAACAGCUUGCUGUUUCGCUGACGAGUGGCGGACGGGUGAGUAAUGUCUGGGAAACUGCCUGAUGGAGGGGGAUAACUACUGGAAACGGUAGCUAAUACCGCAUAACGUCGCAAGACCAAAGAGGGGGACCCUCGGGGCCUCUUGCCAUCGGAUGUGCCCAGAUGGGAUUAGCUUGUUGGUGGGGUAACGGCUCACCAAGGCGACGAUCCCUAGCUGGUCUGAGAGGAUGACCAGCCACACUGGAACUGAGACACGGUCCAGACUCCUACGGGAGGCAGCAGUGGGGAAUAUUGCACAAUGGGCGCAAGCCUGAUGCAGCCAUGCCGCGUGUAUGAAGAAGGCC